CCUACGGGGGGCAGCAGUGGGGAAUAUUGGGCAAUGGGCGCAAGCCUGACCCAGCGACGCCGCGUGAGGGAAGACGGUCUUCGGAUUGUAAACCUCUGUUGCAGGGGAAGAAUAAAGUGACGGUACCCUGCGAGGAAGCCCCGGCAAACUACGUGCCAGCAGCCGCGGUAAUACGUAGGGGACGAGCGUUGUCCGGAAUUACUGGGCGUAAAGGGCGCGCAGGCGGAUAUUUAAGUCAGCUGUAAAAGGCAUGAGCUCAACUCAUGUAUGCGGUUGAAACUGGGUAUCUAGAGUGCUGGAGAGGUAGGCGGAAUUCCCGGUGUAGCGGUGAAAUGCGUAGAUAUCGGGAAGAACACCGGUGGCGAAGGCGAAUGUCUGGCCAUGUACUGACGCUGAGACGCGAAGGUGCGGGGAGCAAACAGGUUUAGAUACCCCUGUAGUC
This 442-nucleotide ribosomal RNA is filed under the name uncultured Aminobacterium sp. Its description in RNAcentral is "bacterial SSU rRNA". It matches the Rfam family "Bacterial small subunit ribosomal RNA", at positions 338 to 795 of the family's 1533-position model. Lineage: Bacteria; Thermotogati; Synergistota; Synergistia; Synergistales; Aminobacteriaceae. The record is from RNAcentral.